GAUAACCGAGGAAUUCAAGAUUUUGACAAUCUUGAAGGAGAAAAAGAGUAGAAGAAUAAGAUGUUGAUCGACUUCUAGUAAUUUAGUAGCUUUGAUUUUGCUUGUCCUAUGGUUUGUGGAUGGUUUGUGGGUGAUUUGGUGGUACCUAGUACCUACUUUUAAGUAUUUAAAUUGAUAUUUUUCAUUAUUUAUAAUUUUACAUUAUGUUUUUUAAGAAUUGCGCUUCACUUUAAAAAAG
This 238-nucleotide long non-coding RNA is filed under the name Nicotiana benthamiana. RNAcentral describes it as "long non-coding RNA (NBEN_LNC037529)". The record is from RNAcentral. Lineage: Eukaryota; Viridiplantae; Streptophyta; Magnoliopsida; Solanales; Solanaceae.